AGAUUGAACGCUGGCGGCAUGCCUAACACAUGCAAGUCGAACGGGAGUAGCAAUACUCUAGUGGCGGACGGGUGAGGAAUACGUAGGAAUUUGCCCUUAAGUGGGGGAUAAACCCGGGGAAACCCGGAUUAAUACCGCAUGACCUCGAAAGAGCAAAGUGGGGGAUCGCAAGACCUCACGCUUUUGGAGAAGCCUACGUCGGAUUAGCUAGUUGGUAGAGGUAAUGGCUCGACCAAGGCGACGAUCCGUAACUGGUCUGAGAGGAUGAAUCAGUACACGACCGGAACUGACGACACGGUCCCGGACUCCCGUAGGGGAGCGUAGCGAAGGUGGGGAAUAGUUGGACGAAGUGGGACCG
This 358-nucleotide ribosomal RNA is filed under the name uncultured soil bacterium. RNAcentral's name for it is "bacterial SSU rRNA". It matches the Rfam family "Bacterial small subunit ribosomal RNA", at positions 26 to 382 of the family's 1533-position model. The record is from RNAcentral.